GAUGAACGCUGGCGGCGUGCCUAAUACAUGCAAGUCGAGCGAACGGACGAGAAGCUUGCUUCUCUGAUGUUAGCGGCGGACGGGUGAGUAACACGUGGAUAACCUACCUAUAAGACUGGGAUAACUUCGGGAAACCGGAGCUAAUACCGGAUAAUAUUUUGAACCGCAUGGUUCAAAAGUGAAAGACGGUCUUGCUGUCACUUAUAGAUGGAUCCGCGCUGCAUUAGCUAGUUGGUAAGGUAACGGCUUACCAAGGCAACGAUGCAUAGCCGACCUGAGAGGGUGAUCGGCCACACUGGAACUGAGACACGGUCCAGACUCCUACGGGAGGCAGCAGUAGGGAAUCUUCCGCAAUGGGCGAAAGCCUGACGGAGCAACGCCGCGUGAGUGAUGAAGGUCUUCGGAUCGUAAAACUCUGUUAUUAGGGAAGAACAUAUGUGUAAGUAACUGUGCACAUCUUGACGGUACCUAAUCAGAAAGCCACGGCUAACUACGUGCCAACAGCCGCGGUAAUACGUAGGUGGCAAGCGUUAUCCGGAAUUAUUGGGCGUAAAGCGCGCGUAGGCGGUUUUUUAAGUCUGAUGUGAAAGCCCACGGCUCAACCGUGGAGGGUCAUUGGAAACUGGAAAACUUGAGUGCAGAAGAGGAAAGUGGAAUUCCAUGUGUAGCGGUGAAAUGCGCAGAGAUAUGGAGGAACACCAGUGGCGAAGGCGACUUUCUGGUCUGUAACUGACGCUGAUGUGCGAAAGCGUGGGGAUCAAACAGGAUUAGAUACCCUGGUAGUCCACGCCGUAAACGAUGAGUGCUAAGUGUUAGGGGGUUUCCGCCCCUUAGUGCUGCAGCUAACGCAUUAAGCACUCCGCCUGGGGAGUACGACCGCAAGGUUGAAACUCAAAGGAAUUGACGGGGACCCGCACAAGCGGUGGAGCAUGUGGUUUAAUUCGAAGCAACGCGAAGAACCUUACCAAAUCUUGACAUCCUUUGACAACUCUAGAGAUAGAGCCUUCCCCUUCGGGGGACAAAGUGACAGGUGGUGCAUGGUUGUCGUCAGCUCGUGUCGUGAGAUGUUGGGUUAAGUCCCGCAACGAGCGCAACCCUUAAGCUUAGUUGCCAUCAUUAAGUUGGGCACUCUAAGUUGACUGCCGGUGACAAACCGGAGGAAGGUGGGGAUGACGUCAAAUCAUCAUGCCCCUUAUGAUUUGGGCUACACACGUGCUACAAUGGACAAUACAAAGGGCAGCGAAACCGCGAGGUCAAGCAAAUCCCAUAAAGUUGUUCUCAGUUCGGAUUGUAGUCUGCAACUCGACUACAUGAAGCUGGAAUCGCUAGUAAUCGUAGAUCAGCAUGCUACGGUGAAUACGUUCCCGGGUCU
Molecule: ribosomal RNA, 1372 nt
Filed under: uncultured bacterium
Lineage: Bacteria
Description: bacterial SSU rRNA
Rfam family: Bacterial small subunit ribosomal RNA
Source: RNAcentral